GGACUAGUUUUAAGUGAAGAAGGAUGACUCCACAUUCACCAAAAGCCAUGCAAAAAUAUAAUUGCCGCCUACUUCAAUUCAGCAUGAAAAAUAACGAGUCCUUUUUAAAGAAGGCUCUUUAUUAAACAUGUUGCCUUAAAAGAUAAAUCAGAAAUCCUAUGUUUUGACGCCAAAAAUUAAUGAAAUUUUUAUGACACAU
RNAcentral lists this long non-coding RNA (199 nucleotides) under Elaeis guineensis (African oil palm). RNAcentral describes it as "long non-coding RNA (EGUI_LNC042911)". The record is from RNAcentral. Lineage: Eukaryota; Viridiplantae; Streptophyta; Magnoliopsida; Arecales; Arecaceae.